This 468-nucleotide ribosomal RNA is filed under the name uncultured bacterium. Its description in RNAcentral is "partial 16S ribosomal RNA". It matches the Rfam family "Bacterial small subunit ribosomal RNA", at positions 28 to 507 of the family's 1533-position model. The record is from RNAcentral.
GAUGAACGCUGGCGGCGUGCUUAAUACAUGCAAGUCGAACGGACAGGCCCUGCUCUUGCGGGGUGCUUGUGUGGCGAAGGGGUGAGUAAAACGUGUGUAUACUGCCCCUGAAUUAGGGAUAAAUCUAGGAAACUGGGGCUCAUAUCGGAUAGGAGCUUCUGAUGCAUGGUGGUGGAUGGUAAGAUACGGCGGUUGGGGAUGGUUUCGCGGGAUCCCCGCUUGUUGGUGGAGUUGUGGCUUACCAAGGCUUUGAAGGGUAGCCGGCCUGAGAGGGUGACCGGCCACAAUGGGACUAAGAGACGGCCCAGACUCCUACGGGAGGCAGCAGUGGGGAAUAUUGCAGAGUGGGCGGGAGCCUGAUACAGCAGCGCCGCGAGCGGGAUAACGGCCUUCGAGUUAUGAACCGCUUUCGCCUGUGACGAGGCGUGAGUGACGGUAAUGGGUAAGAAAGCACCGGCUAACUACGUG